AUAACCAGAAUCAACUAGAAUGUCUGUGUGAUUAAAUUAAAAUGACAUUUUUUUGUAAAGAAAAAACGUUGUGAUUAAUUGAAUUAAAGGUUGGGUUUUCCUGCUCAGUGAGGUUGCACUGCUGCAGAUAAAAAUAUAUUUUUUCCCAUAAUUUUAGCAGGAGAGGAAAUAAUAAUGAAAGUUGCUGAUUGACUGAAAUGACAUCUCGUCGACAGCAGGGGGCAGAAAAGAGCUGCAAAUCAUCCAAACAACCAGCUGCGUUUAUCUUCUGUUUCAUUUCUGAUCACUUCCUGAUGGAGUCGCUAAGUUUUAUCUCCAUCCAUCCAUUUUCUAACACCCACUUUAUUCUGUUAAAACUACCACUUUAUUCUUACAUUACUUUAUUCUUUUGACUGCUGAAGUUGAUGUUUUUAAAUUUCCAGGAAUCCGGUGCAACGAACUGAGGCGAAAGAAACCAAAAUUCAUUAAUUCCUCUGCUCGCUUUUUUUCUUUAUUUAAUUUUUUUACAUUCCUCAUAUUAAAAUGUGAUUUCUGCGCCUCAAAGAUGGACGCCAGAGGGUUAAAACCAAGCAGUAAACAUCUUCUCGCAGUCCCAGAUCAGGGGUUGUAAACAUCACAACACCCACACUUUACCGCCCAGACGAUGCAUAUUCAUAGUUACAUGCGAGUCAUUAGGGAUGUGUUUUAUUAGUCUAUCCCUCCAUCCGUCCCUUUUUGCCUAAACUGUAAUUACUGGGAGGCCAAUGGAAGGAUGCGGCCCCCGCCUGCUCUCAGCCAGAUUGUAAUGGCUUCAUAAGCGCCGCUGAUUGAAUUGAUUGCCGCAGUCGGAGUCUGGCUGAGACGUACAAUGGGGCGGAAUAUGCGCAUUAAUCAGCUCGGCCUGCAUGGCUCUCGCUUUUAUUUCCAGGUAUACAGGUGAGAAAUGUACACAGCGCCAAUCGUAAACAAGUCACGCCGCCGGCAAACACGAUCUAACUUUUCCCCCGCCACGCAGGUCUGCGGCAUCCAACGUCGAGCAGCAAUCAAGCGUGUCUGGAGGAAACUUCCUGCUAGCUGUUUCACAUUUACCAACCAGAACAAAACGUAUUUUUAUCACCAAUUUUAUUUAAAUACAAACAAAACGACCUGGAAAUCAAUCAUUUGUGGUGGAGUAGUACAAAAACAUUAAUUAAACCCUGAAAAAGUUGAUAGUUUUAAGACAUUUUAAACAGUUUUUAACAGUGGCGUAUACAGAAUAUUUAAGGUGUAGCACAUCAAAUCGCGAGUAGCCUUAGCGUGAGAUUUUUUCCUCGUUUAUAUCUUGAGCCAAACACAAUAAAUACAAUGUCAGAAAAAGAUCAGAAGGACAUUUUGGUCUAGAGCACAAAAAAUAAAAUAAAAAAAUUCAGAAGCACUUUUUUGUCCCAAAAAGGAAGAAAAUAAGAUUUAAGGACUUUUUUUGUCCAUAGAGGAAAAAAAAGAAAACAUUUUGGAAGGACACUUUUUUUAGCCCAGAGGGGAAAAAAGGCAUUUCCUAAAGUUUUACUUAGUUCUGGUCCAAGCUUUUAAACAGGAAGUUAUCUGAAUAGCCAAACUAUUCUAUCAAUGCAAUUUCUUAAAGCAAAAUUCUUGUAAUAUAUUUUAUCUUUAUUUUAUUGGAGUAUAUAUUUAUUCCUGCGUUCAUUCUGGACGAGUCUUUCACAUAUAGACAAAAACAGGAAAAAUUUUUCCAGCAAUAAUCUAAAAACAUGACUUUACUAAAACAAAAACUACAAAUUCGAGGUCCAUUACAUGUAAAUAACAUCUUUUAUUACUAUGCAAAUGUCAUACCUUUAGCUACUUUACAUCAGAAAUCAAACAAAAGAGAAUAAAUAAGUACAGAUAAGUCAUUGGAGAUUAUGAGGGUUCUUUAUUGAAAAUGCUUGACAGUUUAUAAAAGUCACAUGUUGAUUUACAGAGAUUUCCUUCAUAUGUGUGAGAUUUCAAACCAGGUUUGUGGUUCCCAACAUUCCCAACAGAUAAAAAUGUCAGAUCAGAUGGGAAACUUGGUGACUAUCUGAUCAACAAGCUUUUUUAUUCUCUUUUUUUGGAAUAUUUACAUAUAUUUGGCAAUUUUACAAGCAGAAACACAGAAACACAAACUUACCCGUAAGCUGCCAGUAGGGGGCGAUAUUU
Xiphophorus hellerii (green swordtail) is the source of this 2154-nucleotide long non-coding RNA. RefSeq lists it as uncharacterized. The record is from RefSeq and is a predicted model, not a curated record. The transcript is spliced from 2 exons. NCBI's taxonomy places the organism in Eukaryota, Metazoa, Chordata, Actinopteri, Cyprinodontiformes, Poeciliidae.